This is a long non-coding RNA of Nymphalis io (European peacock), 600 nucleotides long. RefSeq lists it as uncharacterized. Lineage: Eukaryota; Metazoa; Arthropoda; Insecta; Lepidoptera; Nymphalidae. The transcript is spliced from 2 exons. The record is from RefSeq and is a predicted model, not a curated record.
CGCAACCCUAAGCUGCGGACAGAUGUUAGUUACCUAACACGGAUGUCAAUUAUUCACAUACUGAUAGGCAAGUUGCUGUAAGUACAUUGAAUACAUUAUUACUUUGAAGAUCAAGGACGGUUUUUAUCAAGACAUAGCAAGACAAGUAAUCGAGGCGUGGUCGGACUUAUUGUAUAUAAAUCAGAGCAUGCGUUCAACUGAUAUCACUUGUGAAAACUCUUCCAAGCAACUCUAUAACAAUGUUCUUCAAACUGUUUGCGUUAUUUGCUCUGGUUGCGGUGGCGUUCGCCAGCCCCAAGCCUGAGCCUCAAGUUUUAGCCUACGGUGCUGGAAUCUUACCUUCUUACCCCUACUAUUCCUCUGGUAUCUACGCUGCUGCCGCUCCUUUCAAUGCACUCCCCUACGCUUACAACGGAUACCUUCUUCGCUAAGAUAAGUUAUAAGGUCACAUAAUAGUCAUGCAUUUUAAGAUUUUUUUAAAUAAUUGUUACACCUUUGUUUUAAGAAAUUUUCUAUGUUCAUGUUAUGGUGACCUUAGCCGACUUCUCGCUAGAUCAAUGAAUUGGAAAUGCCUAACGUUUAAAUAAAUUUUUAUGCAUA